Long non-coding RNA from Mus musculus (house mouse), 1193 nucleotides. RefSeq annotates it as predicted gene, 33026. NCBI's taxonomy places the organism in Eukaryota, Metazoa, Chordata, Mammalia, Rodentia, Muridae. The transcript has 6 exons. The record is from RefSeq and is a predicted model, not a curated record.
UCUCUCUUUUUAAGCUGCAGGCCUCAGAGGCUCACAGCAAGAGAAGAGCAGACACAGGAUGUGAAAUGAAUCCAGGCCUCCUGAGCUCUGUGUCUCUUUCCCCCAGCCCUUUGUGCUCUGACCUACAAAGGACAGGAGUGCUGCGGAGAGCAGGCUGAAGGAUCCAGGGUCAACUCCCAGCUCCCACACGGCUCACAGCUGUCUGGACUCCUGUCCCAGGGAAUCGGUGCCCUCUUCUGACCUCUGAGUGCACCAGAGAGCUCCUUGAGGCCAGGGAGGACGCCUGUCUCAGAGGUUGCGGAGCCCAGACCAAGCCUGACCGCGGACGGACGGGGUAGUGUCUCAUGUGGCCCACACUGGCUUCGAACUUCCUAGAUUACCACGAUGAGUUUGAACUUCUGAUCUUCCUGCUUGUACCUACGGCGGCGUGCAGAGAUUACAGGUAUGGACCCCACACUGGGUUCAUGCUGUGCGAGGGAUUGACCUCCUGCCUAUUAGAUGAAACGAAGCAGAGUCUCACUGAACCAUACUCCACCCAACCCUUCGUGACUGGAAGUGGAAAUUCAGAAGGGAACUGGUGGAUAGGGCAGCCCUGUGGAUCUGGGGACAGGACUGACUCAGUCGCCCAGGGGGAUGGAUGCGGCUCUGGGAAAGUUUGCCUGAAGCUCUCUCUGUCUCCAUGUGGACUGCAUCGAUACUGCUGCUUCUGGGGUCUGGUGCCCUGAUAUUAGCUGGGACACAGGGGAACACCCAGUGCAGAUUCACUGGAGUGCAGGAGCCAUGCUGUCUGCAGCUCAUCACCUAUGGCCCCUGCGGGUUCCACACCCCGACAGCUGCCCAGCUAACCUGUUUACCCCCAGCUACAUGCUCAAAAGAUUCAGCCUUCCAAAGUUUCAGGCACUACUUGAAGGAAACCAGUCCACCCAAGACCAUGUUACAGUUGCAGGAGUCCCAUUUCAGAACGCACCAGGAACAGGCAGUUGCCUAAGGGCAGGAGUGAGUCGAAGGUUGCCAGGGGCUAGAGAUAAAGGGGAGCCAGGUGAGGAGACCACAGAUGGUUGCAGGGGUUCCUUAGGGUCUGUUCUGGAAUUAAACUGUCUUGAUGUUUGCUAAAUGCUACUGGAAGGAAGACGGUUCACACAUAACUCACAUGGUCAACCAACUCUACCACAAUAAAGGCUGUUUUGAAAGGG